Molecule: ribosomal RNA, 207 nt
Filed under: uncultured bacterium
Lineage: Bacteria
Description: partial 16S ribosomal RNA
Rfam family: Bacterial small subunit ribosomal RNA
Source: RNAcentral
CGCGUAGGCGGGCCUUCAAGUCGGAUGUGAAAACCCCGGGCUUAACUCGGGGCCUGCAUUCGAAACUGGAGGCCUUGAGUACAGGAGAGGAAAGUGGAAUUCCAGGUGUAGCGGUGAAAUGCGUAGAUAUCUGGAAGAACACCAGUAGCGAAGGCGGCUUUCUGGACUGAUACUGACGUUAAAGCGCGAAGGCUUGGGGAGCAAACA